AGCGGAUGAAGGGAGCUUGCUCCCUGAUUUAGCGGCGGACGGGUGAGUAAUGCCUAGGAAUCUGCCUGGUAGUGGGGGAUAACGUCCCGAAACGAACGCUAAUACCGCAUACGUCCUACGGGAGAAAGCAGGGGACCUUCGGGCCUUGCGCUAUCAGAUGAGCCUAGGUCGGAUUAGCUAGUUGGUGAGGUAAUGGCUCACCAAGGCGACGAUCCGUAACUGGUCUGAGAGGAUGAUCAGUCACACUGGAACUGAGACACGGUCCAGACUCCUACGGGAGGCAGCAGUGGGGAAUAUUGGACAAUGGGCGAAAGCCUGAUCCAGCCAUGCCGCGUGUGUGAAGAAGGUCUUCGGAUUGUAAAGCACUUUAAGUUGGGAGGAAGGGCAGUAAGCUAAUACCUUGCUGUUUUGACGUUACCGACAGAAUAAGCACCGGCUAACUUCGUGCCAGCAGCCGCGGUAAUACGAAGGGUGCAAGCGUUAAUCGGAAUUACUGGGCGUAAAGCGCGCGUAGGUGGUUCGUUAAGUUGGAUGUGAAAGCCCCGGGCUCAACCUGGGAACUGCAUCCAAAACUGGCGAGCUAGAGUACGGUAGAGGGUGGUGGAAUUUCCUGUGUAGCGGUGAAAUGCGUAGAUAUAGGAAGGAACACCAGUGGCGAAGGCGACCACCCUGGACUGAUACUGACACUGAGGUGCGAAAAGCGUGGGGAGCAAACAGGAUUNAGAUACCCUGGUA
Molecule: ribosomal RNA, 735 nt
Filed under: bacterium EAB-F5.06
Lineage: Bacteria
Description: bacterial SSU rRNA
Rfam family: Bacterial small subunit ribosomal RNA
Source: RNAcentral